Molecule: small RNA, 148 nt
Filed under: Pongo abelii (Sumatran orangutan)
Lineage: Eukaryota; Metazoa; Chordata; Mammalia; Primates; Hominidae
Description: Metazoan signal recognition particle RNA (ENSPPYG00000034388.1)
Source: Rfam by way of RNAcentral
GCUGGGCAUGGUGGCGCAUGCCUGUAAUCCCAGCUACUCGGGAGGCUGAGGCAGGAGAAUCACUUGAACCUGGGAGGCGGAGGUUGCAGUGAGCCAAGAUCGUGCCACUGCACUCCAGCCUGGGCUACAGAGUGAGACUCCGUCUCAA